RNAcentral lists this unclassified non-coding RNA (255 nucleotides) under Ascomycota sp. RNAcentral's name for it is "partial contains small subunit ribosomal RNA, internal transcribed spacer 1, and 5.8S ribosomal RNA". The stretch from base 1 to 47 matches the Rfam family "Eukaryotic small subunit ribosomal RNA", at positions 1785 to 1831 of the family's 1831-position model. Lineage: Eukaryota; Fungi; Ascomycota. The record is from RNAcentral.
AAAGUCGUAACAAGGUUUCCGUAGGUGAACCUGCGGAAGGAUCAUUACAAUACAGAAGCUGUUGGCCGAAAGGCCCUCAGUGAUACCCCAUGUGAAAACCCCAAUUUCGCCUCGGCGGCACGUCCACCCCUUCACCGGGGCGGGCGGUCAGUCCGCCGGCGGCACCCAACCAAACCCAUAACCAUUUAGAAGAAGCUGUCUGAAAUCAAAGGUCGAAUGACUAUAAAACUUUCAACAACGGAUCUCUUGGUUCCC